This is a long non-coding RNA of Sebastes umbrosus (honeycomb rockfish), 625 nucleotides long. RefSeq lists it as uncharacterized. NCBI's taxonomy places the organism in Eukaryota, Metazoa, Chordata, Actinopteri, Perciformes, Sebastidae. The record is from RefSeq and is a predicted model, not a curated record. The transcript is spliced from 2 exons.
UCAACAUUGUUCAUCCCCUAUUUUUUCUGUCUUUCGCCAACUAGCUUCAUCCAGAAGAUGCUCUUUCUGCUACCUGUCCUGUCUCUCUUGCCUUUCUUUUAGGUGGCUAAAAAUAUGUUUUUCUGCCGUCCCCGUCCACAGCACUGUAUUGCUUUGCUCUGGUGUUGGAACCCCUGCCUGUUUCUCCAAGCUGGGGUCGUGUCGACCGAUCACUUGAUGAAACCUGAGCUCCAUUUGCUAACGCAGUGGUUCCCAACCUUUCCGAGUCUCGACCCCCAGAAUAAUCAGGUUGGUGUUUGUGACCCUCCCACCCGGCGUAAACCGUUGUUUCUCUGUGCCUCCCCUUGCUGAUUUUGAGUGAUUAUUGUGAAUGUUCUGAUUAAUAAAUGUAAGUUAAAUAAAUAAUGCUUUGUUUGUGAUGACAGUUUAGUUUAGUUUAGUCUAGUUUGAACAGGUAGCACCUAGGCAUUGUCCAAUGUGAUCCAGGCGCCGUGGACUUUUGAUGCAUUUUGUGACUUUUUCUUUCCCCCUGACCUGCCAUAACUCCGCACAAUUUUUCUCCCAUGACCACAGUCAAUAAAAUGUAUUCUGAGACUAAUUAUAUCACUGGUACAGGUGAUGUAAU